This is a long non-coding RNA of Sinocyclocheilus grahami, 456 nucleotides long. RefSeq lists it as uncharacterized. The record is from RefSeq and is a predicted model, not a curated record. Lineage: Eukaryota; Metazoa; Chordata; Actinopteri; Cypriniformes; Cyprinidae. The transcript has 5 exons.
AGGGAGGAUCACUACCGAAUGGCACGCAGCCCUAGUCACGUGGGUCGUGUCGCUCCAGCGCUAUAAAAGCGGACGCUCUCUGCUGCUCGCUCUCUUUCUCGCCGCAGCACGUGCGUGUUUGUGCUGCCUCAGACAUACAGGAGAGAGCCGCUCAAAUAAAGCACGUUCAUGAUGAAUUACACGCGAGAAUCCCAUCGCAGCGCUUACAAACCACCAUGAUAAACGCUGGAGUCAAUGUGACUUGGUCAUGAUUCUCUACUGGCUGAUUUACUGUGUGAUAAUUAGGCGCAGUUCAUGAAAAUGGUGAACGUCUAUCUAAAUGCUGAUUCAGCACUGAUCAGAUGGAGCUGAAACCACCAGGAAGUGUCCUGAUUCACUUGGAUAAAGCGCUAUGCGCUCCACGGUGACUGUGAAUGCUGGAGGUUGACGUCAUGCAUGAAACUUCUCUUUACAAUG